CGAACAGAGACCUAAAUCGUGGGAUGUUUCAAACGAAGGGUACAAAAACAGAGACCUAAGGCAAAAAUCUUGUGAAGAUAUAGGAACAAGUUUAAUUGAUGGUUUCAAUAACUUAUCACAGGCAGAAAAAAAACAGAUAUUGGAAAAGCUGCAAAAACGAUGGAAAACAUCCAGAGAUGCAUUUAUACGAUGCCGCAAUAAAGGCAAGACUUUAAAGAGUGGUUCAGCGGCCAAGAAGCUGAGUAAAUAUAUCUAUUACGAGAAUUUGAAAUUUUUGGAGAAAAGUUUAGAUCUAAAUAACACUCAGACAAAUUUGGAAAAUUCUGAAGAUGAGGAGCCAAAUGAAGUUGAGAACGAUGAGGUUGAUGCAGAUCUAGAAGAAACUGACAGAGUUGAGCAAGUGGAACGCGCUGAAACAACGAAGCGAAA
Long non-coding RNA from Anthonomus grandis grandis, 429 nucleotides. RefSeq lists it as uncharacterized. Lineage: Eukaryota; Metazoa; Arthropoda; Insecta; Coleoptera; Curculionidae. The record is from RefSeq and is a predicted model, not a curated record. The transcript has 3 exons.